AGAGUUUGAUCCUGGCUCAGGACGAACGCUGGCGGCGUGCUUAACACAUGCAAGUCGAACGGAAAGGCCCUUCGGGGUACUCGAGUGGCGAACGGGUGAGUAACACGUGGGUGAUCUGCCCUGCACUUUGGGAUAAGCCUGGGAAACUGGGUCUAAUACCGAAUAUGACCACGCUCUUCAUGGGGUGUGGUGGAAAGCUUUUGCGGUGUGGGAUGGGCCCGCGGCCUAUCAGCUUGUUGGUGGGGUAAUGGCCUACCAAGGCGACGACGGGUAGCCGGCCUGAGAGGGUGACCGGCCACACUGGGACUGAGAUACGGCCCAGACUCCUACGGGAGGCAGCAGUGGGGAAUAUUGCACAAUGGGCGCAAGCCUGAUGCAGCGACGCCGCGUGAGGGAUGACGGCCUUCGGGUUGUAAACCUCUUUCACCAGGGACGAAGCGCAAGUGACGGUACCUGGAGAAGAAGCACCGGCCAACUACGUGCCAGCAGCCGCGGUAAUACGUAGGGUGCGAGCGUUGUCCGGAAUUACUGGGCGUAAAGAGCUCGUAGGUGGUUUGUCGCGUUGUUCGUGAAAACUCACAGCUUAACUGUGGGCGUGCGGGCGAUACGGGCAGACUAGAGUACUGCAGGGGAGACUGGAAUUCCUGGUGUAGCGGUGGAAUGCGCAGAUAUCAGGAGGAACACCGGUGGCGAAGGCGGGUCUCUGGGCAGUAACUGACGCUGAGGAGCGAAAGCGUGGGUAGCGAACAGGAUUAGAUACCCUGGUAGUCCAA
RNAcentral lists this ribosomal RNA (773 nucleotides) under uncultured bacterium. RNAcentral's name for it is "bacterial SSU rRNA". It matches the Rfam family "Bacterial small subunit ribosomal RNA", at positions 8 to 798 of the family's 1533-position model. The record is from RNAcentral.